Molecule: ribosomal RNA, 397 nt
Filed under: uncultured bacterium
Lineage: Bacteria
Description: bacterial SSU rRNA
Rfam family: Bacterial small subunit ribosomal RNA
Source: RNAcentral
GAAGUCAGUGGCGCACGAGUGGAGUAACGCGUGGGAAACUGCCCUUCACUGGGGAAUAACGUUUGGAAACGAACGCUAAUACCGCAUACGCCCGCAAGGGGAAAGAUUUAUCGGUGAUGGAUGUGCCCGCGUUGGAUUAGCUAGUUGGUGGGGUAAUGGCCUACCAAGGCGAUGAUCCAUAGCUGGUCUGAGAGGACGAUCAGCCACGCUGGAACUGAGACACGGUCCAGACUCCUACGGGAGGCAGCAGCUAAGAAUAUUGGGCAAUGGAGGAAACUCUGACCCAGCCAAUGCCGCGUGAAUGAAGAAGGCCUUCGGGUUGUAAAGUUCUUUUAGUCAUGAAGAUGAUGACAGUAGUGACAGAAAAAGCACCGGCUAACUUCGUGCCAGCCGCUGC